Molecule: long non-coding RNA, 3692 nt
Organism: Monodelphis domestica (gray short-tailed opossum)
Lineage: Eukaryota; Metazoa; Chordata; Mammalia; Didelphimorphia; Didelphidae
Source: RefSeq, a predicted model, not a curated record
GACCCGGAUGUAGCGCGUGCGCAGAGGCCAUUGCCUCCUCCCUGUCAUGGCGGCGUUUUAGGAAGCUUUGCUGUUUUUGACGUAUUUCCGCUCCUUGCGAUGAUGUCAUGCCAUAGCCAAGACACUCCCCCACUUUUCCCUUACUUAGCAUCGCCCCCUGAGCCCACCCUAAGUGUAAAGCUCCGUGAAGCUCUGAGCUGCUGAGAUGGAUUUCAGGCCAGCGCUCCUGUGACGCAUCCGUGAUCCCUCACCCCCAACUCUGAGGAGACCCUGAUGCCAAGGACUUCAACUUUGAGGAUAGGCCCUGAAAGGUAGAGGAGGCUGUGUGGUUUCCUUCGCCUAGCCCAGGGCUCUGCUGCAGAGCCCCCUGCCGGUUGCUUGGAUGCAUGCAGAAACCAUGUUGUAGGUAGAAUGGAAGUUCUUCAAAGACUGGCAUUGUCCCCCUUUCAGCGUAUUCCUAGGGCCUACCACGUUUACUGGCACAAAGAAAGAGAUAAUAGGAGCAUCUAGAUAGCUCUGGAUAGGGAGCCAGACCCAGAGAUGGGAAGUCCUGGGUCCAAAUGUGGACUCAAACUAGCUGUGUACCUCUGGUUAAUCUUCUUUAAUAGAACCCCUGCUUUUUUGGAACCUCCUGUGUUAGAGGGACAGCUGGACAAUUGCUGCAUCAAGCAAGCAAACAAGGAAACAUUAAGGGACUACAAUCUAUUUUGGAAGAACAAUAAGGGCUAGACAAUGGAAGAGUAAUUUUAGGUUAAGAAACAUGCUACCUCUCCAAAUCCAGAAAAUGAACUCUUCUUAGAAGGCACCAUGAAGAUACCUCCACAGACCACAAGCUACAUCAAGAAGAUCCAGAAUGAACUUUGGGUGUGGUUGAUUGAACUGAAGGUUGAUUGAACAUUUAAUUUGAAUAUAUACUCUUAUGCCAAAAGGGGACUGCCCCCUAAUUGGCUUUUUGUCAAUGCGCCUAGCAAUUAUUGGUUUUGUUCUCUUUUCCUUUUAUCCUCAAAUUAUUGCAAUUUUAAAGUUGGCUUGUUUACAAGACCCACUGGAGAGACUAGUCUUCCAUGGGUCUCAGGGGGAAAUGUAUGAUUGAAAAUCUGUUACCCUACUACGUAUCCCAAGAGCCCAUUGACUUCCUGUCAUUACGUACUUUCUGUAGACAGAGGAUAAAGGCCGUGGGCUUUGGAGGCUCCCUCUCUGAUAUAGAAUCAGCAUUGAUGGUGGUGAGUGGGGUUGACUAAAAAAAUGACUAACCAGCCAUGGGCACAUGGUCUUUAUUUUGUAUCUUUAUUCCUUGAUUUCUAAUGAUCAUUAAUAAAUCUCUUAAAAUAUAAUAUUAUUAUUGAGAUUUAAUUUUAACUUUUACAUUACUCCUUUAUUUCUAGUGAUUAUUAAUAAGUCUUAUAAAAUAUAAUAUUGAAAUUAUUGUAGAUUAAUUUUAAUUUUUACAUUGAUGGCAUCCACUGAAGUUGGAGAAAGAAUUCUCAAUAUUUUAAAAUAGCCUAGAUAAAUUUUGCAAAGUCACAUUUCUCCUGCCAUGGCUUUUCGCUGCCCACCCCUGACAACUCUGAACUCUCUUUGGAGCUGCUGUCCAACUCCUACCAUUUUCCCCCCAUUUUUCCCAGCCUCCCUGCCCACCCGAAUACUUUAAUUUGAGUGACUUAGCCAGGGACUCUUAGCAGAAAAGGCUUAGGCCUUUUCUCGCUCCCAUUUGCUUAAGCCAGCAUUCCUCACUGCUGCCUCUGGCGUUAUUGCUGCCAAUCCAGCCUCCUGCUAUUAACUCCCUGGGUUGUCUCCUGCUGCAGCUGCUGUUGCUGUUGCUGUUGCUGAUUGCUGAUUGCUGUUGCUGUGUCUUUAGAACACACAAGCUGGGAGUCCUUGGAGCCACUCUCCUGGCAGCUGGUAAAGUACAUUUCGAACAGCUGAGUGCUUGCUCGCUGCUUGCCUUGGAAACCCAAGUGUGUUUCCCUUAGGCAAUAAUUAGCCUCCUAACUCCUUGCCAUUUCUGCUGUCUGUGAGCUACUGCAGUCAACACCUGAUUGCCAAGGGUUCGAGAGCCAAUUAGAAAUACCAUUUUUUUUCCCUCAGAGGGUGAAGUAUAGAUUCCCCCCCUCCCACAUGGGUUUUCUAACCCAGUUUGGCUAACCCAGAUAGGUUUCCAUGCCUGUGGGGGAGGGGACUGAGGCAGCAAGUGGCCCCUAGCUUUUUUACCCUAAGGGGGAAGGGGAAGGAAGGUUACUCUUCCAAACAGGAAGUAAAAUUGCAAGCAUAUCCUGCUCUAUGAAAGAGCAGCACAUUACCGGUUUCAAACAGAUCCCAAUUUUUGGAUGCUCUUUCAUCCUACCAUUUCUGGGUGCACUGGUCCUUGCGAUUAUCUUGCCUGAGAUUCAGGGGAGAAAUUUAUCUCCCUACAACCCCAUGCCAUUUGGACCUGCCCAGUCUCUAAAAUACAUCCAAUUUGGGAUUCCUCCACACUAUGUUCAGCUAGGAAUUCUCCCUCACUAUGAGAGAUCCCAGAGGUAUGACAAGAAGAACCUAAAUGGAUAGGGAAGAAACUUUUAAGAGCCUGGAGGUGAAAUUUUUAAGCCUUUUCAGACUCCAUUGUUUUAUGAAAAUCUCUGUAUCUUAUUGUAUUUUGCUGAUUGUUUUAGCUUUAAGAUUUAAUUUUGUUGUUUUAAGUUCAUUUGUUAAUCUGACCAAUACUAUUCUGUUACACUGAAUCAUUUUAACCUCCUGUGUUUUGGCUAUUAGAUGUAUUUGAUUACAUUAUUUUGAUUUGUACCUUUCCCCUCUAACUGUACUGAACAAAAUACCAUUGUAAAAGUCCAUAAACAAUUUGCGCAAACCCUUUGGCAAAACCAUAAGCCCUUAUGGACACUGGGCUUGUCAUGAGAUCCACUGAGGUCACAUGUUGCCUAAAUGGCCUUUUGUUCCUUUUUGCCUUUGUUAAUUGUCACAUAGAUGAUGGAUGGAUUCCAUCAACCUGGUUAACAACCUUUGGAGAAUUUAAUGAGUUAAAUAUCUCAAAUUGCUUUUAAGGGGUCUUCAGAAGUGAUUUUUAGAUCUCUAGUAGCACCAGUACCUCUGAUCAUUUACCUGUCUUUGAAUUGUUUGUAACAAGAGAUAAGGGUCUAUUUGUAGUUGAAGAGAAGUGCAAUAGCACUAUUGUAUUUCCCCAUGUCCACAUUUAUUAAAAAUGCAAUGGGGGGCAGCUGGGUAGCUCAGUGGAUUGAGAGCCAGGCCUAGAGAUAGGAGGUCCUGGGUUCAAAUCUGGCCUCAGACACUUCCCAGCUGUGUGACCCUGGGCAAGUCACUUGACCCCCAUUGCCUAGUCCUUACCACUCUUCUGCCUUGGAGCCAAUACACAGUAUUGACUCCAAGAUGGAAGGUAAGGGUUUAAAAAAAAUGCAAUGAAUGAGACAUCUAAAGUGAUUUUCACUAUUUAGUCCUCGGCUCCAUGUGGAAUGGAUGGGACAUAUUGGAGACAGGUCUGUUAACUGUUAUAAUCUCAUACCAGAGUGAGUGAGGUGCCCAAGAGGAUUAGUUACCCUGUAAUGGAUUAUAAUCUCAUCCUGGAGGUGUGAAGAUUUUUUUUUUCUGUGAAGUCUAGUAGUUUCUGAAUAUUAUACACACACACAUAUAUGUUAUAAAGAAUGUUGAAUUAAAGGUAGAGAACAAAAUAGUUCUUGCCA